This 1611-nucleotide long non-coding RNA is filed under the name Olea europaea (common olive). Its description in RNAcentral is "long non-coding RNA (OEUR_LNC011606)". Lineage: Eukaryota; Viridiplantae; Streptophyta; Magnoliopsida; Lamiales; Oleaceae. The record is from RNAcentral.
CUCUAUGAGGUCUGUUUAUACUCGAAUUCACGUACUUUACUCUAAAUGAAUUAUAUAUGUGAAGGUGAAGCUGAUUUGAUAAAAUAUAUUUUGUUUUUUGAUUAAUUAAUCCCGUUAAACAAUUUCUAAAUUCAGUCAUUCGAGACUUGAUUCUAACAUUUUUGGUGAAAUAACGGCUGAUUUGAUUGAGUCCUUUUGAGAAAGAAACUUCAAGUGUUGUUGUGCUUAAAUUACAAUGUUGUUUGAAUUCUUGUUUCCAAAUAAAAAAGAAAGAGAAGCUUUACUAUUGUUGUGAAGCAUACAAAAAGGGGAUGAAUCAUGAAAAGUAAAGGACAUGAUUAUGAUGAUUACAUGAAUAUAUGCACCUGCUUGCAACUCAUGCAAAUAUUUAUAUAUGGGUUUUACUAACUUAGUAUUUGGCUAUAGUGAGUGAGAACGAUUUACCUUACUAACCUACUGUUUUUGGUGUGUCAAAAAUCUGAAGUUCUAUUCUGCUUACUAGAGAAUUAGUGUUUAAAAUGAUCACGGAAAUAAAAGAAUUAUGAAAGGUACUUAUUUGUAAACAAGCUUUAUUAACUUUGGUGUCCUGAAUAUACCUUUUCCUUUUCGGUUGCAUUGGCAUAAGAAGUUUACCUAUGCAAGAGAUGUUUUUAUUCCCGCUUGGCUUGUGAUGAAAAUUUCUCUAAACUCAGAUCUUGGUGUGGCUCAUAGAAAAACUUUUCCCACAUGCUGCCUCCUGCCAAACAAGUUCACAAGGGUUCUCCCCAGUGAUGGCUGUAUGGUGUUUAUUUUAGAAUGCAAAAAGGAGAAUAAUGGUUGAUUAUGAAUAAAAUGAGUUAGAUGAUCCUAUCUCACCCAUAGAAUGCUAAGAAAUUUUAGGUCAUUAAUUAGGUAACUAUCAAUACAUAGAUUCUCUAGGGUGCUGAAAUAGUCUAUAGGACUGUCUAACUGACCUUGUUCUUUAUCGGCUGUUUUUCCUUCUUUUCAUGUGCCAACUUCAACAUCUGAAAGUUAUUGCUGGUGUACCCUAAACACCCUUUUCAUAUAGGACAUUGCACAUUACAAGAGAUCUUGUAGCCACACCAUGUUCCGACUUUAGAUGAAUUUCAUACUCCUUCAGGUUGUAAUCUUAUGGCUGCUUUCUCUAUCAUAUGGCAUUGUCACAGUCAAAUUAUUUUUCAAUCAUUUACCUUCCACAGUAUAAUUCUUGUUAGUAGUUGCAAAUUAUUAUUAUCAUAUAUUUAAAUCCACAAUUUACUGUUGCUCCUUAUAUUCACACUCAUAAGAUAGUACAGAGCAAUAAUAGCUGACUUUUAUCAUGAAACAGUUGCAUCGUAAUCGUUAGUCCUCUAACCUCUUUCUUAAUGGUUUUUGUAUCUGUAUAUGGACAUGGAUGUUGAAGUAAUCUUCUUGUUCUAAUGCAUUCCUGCACAUGUUACAAGAUGCUAUUUUAACUUCAAGUUCCUUUUUUCAGAGUUUCACCGAAUGGGAGUAUCUGUUUCUGGGACUUUUUUCGGCACUCCCUGCGGUUAUUGUACCAAUGGUUCUGGUUGGAAAGGUGGAUUACUCAAUGUUUCUUUCCAAUUUAUUUAUAUUUCAUUUCCAGAAGUG